AAAUGUGUGCGCUUACAAAUAGAACAAAUGUAUCCAAACCAAUCAAUAAAGUUAUUGAAAACUAAAGUGUGUUACUGUGUUCAAAUGAAGAAAUGAAAAUACAAGAGUUACUGACUUUAGAGUGUGGCCACGGGUUUGGCCAUCACAAUGUGCAGACUCCAGCUGUGGUAAUGUGGGCGGAUGAAGAUGGUCACUGAUGGACCUCCACCCCUGCCUUCUGGUCAUCUGUGUUACUGAUUAAGACUUACCUCUGCUCUCUGUGUGUGUGUGUGUGUGUGUGUGUGUGUGUGCAUGUGUAACAGUGCCCCAAGCAGAUUAGGGCACAGCAGGCGUGAUGCCAACUCAUGCAGCUUCUCCUUAGAAGUCACUCAGCGCCCCGUCCGUGUAGACAAAGAGCAAUAAUGGGAGAAAAAAAGACACAGACUAGGCUCCUCCAGGCAGACCCAUUGCUAACCAGCCUCUGAGUGCUGAAUGAGAAGGCAGACCCCCGCCAUGCCAGAUUCACCAGGUCUUUCUCCCAGUGAGAGCGAUGAUUCAGCUUCUCAUCUGGGUCCUGUGCCAGUAUAGCAUUUACUAGCAGAUGGAUAAACAGGUUUGGAAAUCCCCUCCCUGUACUAAGUGUUCUAGGUUUCCGAGUGUUUUCCCAGUUUAGGUUUUCAUGGUUGGUUCUGUUUGCUACUCAGCCAGAAUAAACAGCUCGCUUUUUUAAAAGUAGGCUCCAGAAUGGAUGAUGGGAUGUUCGCAUGUCUUUAUGUAACACUGAGUGCGCUGAACUAAAGAUUUUGACAGCUGGACAAGUGAUGCCUUAUUUAAAGAAACAUGAGAUGAGUGCAGCAUAUUAUCUGAACAGAGAUCAUUCAAUGAGCAAGAAUAAACACUGACAAGAGAAACACUUCACUGUUGAUUAUCAUAUGAAGUCUAAUGAAAGCUGUUAAUCUGUUAAUAUCCUGUUAAU
This is a long non-coding RNA of Oreochromis niloticus (Nile tilapia), 955 nucleotides long. RefSeq lists it as uncharacterized. The transcript has 4 exons. The record is from RefSeq and is a predicted model, not a curated record. Lineage: Eukaryota; Metazoa; Chordata; Actinopteri; Cichliformes; Cichlidae.